Misgurnus anguillicaudatus (oriental weatherfish) is the source of this 389-nucleotide non-coding RNA. The record is from RefSeq and is a predicted model, not a curated record. Lineage: Eukaryota; Metazoa; Chordata; Actinopteri; Cypriniformes; Cobitidae.
GAAAUCGUAGUUUACAUCUACAGCAGCAUAUGCUACAGCAGUGACAACGCCAAAGAAAAGGACUACAUUUCCCAGAAUGCACCUGCACCCACUCAUCUGCCCCUUCAGGUGCGACCGCUUCACCUAUGGGCUUGACGGGAAAAUUCAAAAUCGCGAACCGUUACAGCCUGGACUACUCUUUGUUUGCUUGCACAUCAACAGUAAGAGGUAAUGUACACUGUGGUCAACUUUGUGGACGCUGAAGAGGUUUCUGGGGAAAGAUGAUAGAAAUAUAAUGAAGUAACAGUGGAAGCUAAAACAUCAGACUGAUCCAGACACUGAAGAAAUUGAUGUCACUGCAAUCUGGCCAAAAUGAUACAACUAUAUUGAAGUAGCCUACUGUAAUGCAG